RNAcentral lists this ribosomal RNA (268 nucleotides) under uncultured bacterium. RNAcentral describes it as "partial 16S ribosomal RNA". It matches the Rfam family "Bacterial small subunit ribosomal RNA", at positions 793 to 1055 of the family's 1533-position model. The record is from RNAcentral.
GUCCACGCUGUAAACGAUGAACACUAGGUGUCGUGGGUAUUGACCCCCGCGGUGCCGCAGCUAACGCAUUAAGUGUUCCGCCUGGGAAGUACGGUCGCAAGACUAAAACUCAAAGGAAUUGACGGGGGCCCCGCACAAGCGGUGGAGCAUGUGGUUUAAUUCGACGCAACGCGCAGAACCUUACCUGGGCUGGAAAGUCAUCGGAAGCCUGAUGAAAGUUGGGUGUGCCCGCAAGGGAGCCGGUGGACAGGUGCUGCAUGGCUGUCGU